Pseudorhodoplanes sinuspersici is the source of this 154-nucleotide regulatory RNA element. It matches the Rfam family "speF leader". Rfam says of the family: This family is a putative regulatory RNA structure that is found upstream of the speF gene encoding ornithine decarboxylase in Agrobacterium tumefaciens and other alpha-proteobacteria. The record is from Rfam. Lineage: Bacteria; Pseudomonadati; Pseudomonadota; Alphaproteobacteria; Hyphomicrobiales.
UGCCGGCUGUCCAUAGGCCGGAUCUGUUCCGAAGAGGCUUGUCCUUCAUUGCCAGGUGUGCGGCGGGGGUCUCCCCACCAAUCCACGGCAGCAUUGUCCGGUGUUGAACACCUCGCCUGUCGUGACCUCCAUCGCACGACGGCGUGGCUUCAUC